This 511-nucleotide ribosomal RNA is filed under the name uncultured Lactobacillus sp. RNAcentral describes it as "partial 16S ribosomal RNA". Lineage: Bacteria; Bacillati; Bacillota; Bacilli; Lactobacillales; Lactobacillaceae. The record is from RNAcentral.
CACGUAGUUAGCCGUGGCUUUCUGGUUAAAUACCGUCAACCCUUGAACAGUUACUCUCAAAGGUGUUCUUCUUUAACAACAGAGUUUUACGAGCCGAAACCCUUCUUCACUCACGCGGCAUUGCUCCAUCAGACUUUCGUCCAUUGUGGAAGAUUCCCUACUGCUGCCUCCCGUAGGAGUUUGGGCCGUGUCUCAGUCCCAAUGUGGCCGAUUACCCUCUCAGGUCGGCUACGUAUCAUCGUCUUGGUGGGCCUUUACCUCACCAACUAACUAAUACGCCGCGGGAUCAUCCAGAAGUGAUAGCCGAAGCCACCUUUCAAACAAAAUCCAUGCGGAUUUUGUGUUAUACGGUAUUAGCACCUGUUUCCAAGUGUUAUCCCCUGCUUCUGGGCAGAUUCCCCACGUGUUACUCACCAGUUCGCCACUCGCUCAUUGUUGAAAUCAGUGCAAGCACGUCAUUCAACGGAGCUCGUUCGACUUGCAUGUAUUAGGCAUGCCGCAGCGUCGUCCG